RNAcentral lists this ribosomal RNA (245 nucleotides) under uncultured bacterium. RNAcentral's name for it is "partial small subunit ribosomal RNA". It matches the Rfam family "Bacterial small subunit ribosomal RNA", at positions 26 to 285 of the family's 1533-position model. The record is from RNAcentral.
AGAAUCAACGCUGGCGGCGUGCCUAACACAUGCAAGUCGCACGAGAAAGGGGAGCAAUCCCUGAGUACAGUGGCGCACGGGUGAGCAACACGUGAAUAAUCUACCUCCGAGUGGGGAAUAACUGAGAGAAAUCUUAGCUAAUACCGCAUAACACUUACGAGUCAAAGCAGCAAUGCGCUUGGAGAGGAGUUCGCGGCCGAUUAGUUAGUUGGCGGGGUAAUGGCCCACCAAGACGAUGAUCGGUA